This 74-nucleotide transfer RNA is filed under the name Candidatus Azambacteria bacterium RIFCSPHIGHO2_01_46_10. RNAcentral's name for it is "tRNA-Met". It matches the Rfam family "tRNA". Rfam says of the family: Transfer RNA (tRNA) molecules are approximately 80 nucleotides in length. The record is from RNAcentral. Lineage: Bacteria; Candidatus Azamiibacteriota. RNAcentral also lists the same sequence under 4 other names.
GCCGGUGUAGCUUAACGGCAAAGCAGAGCCCUCAUAAAGCUCGGACGGAGGUUCGACUCCUCCCAUCGGCACCG